Long non-coding RNA from Colius striatus (speckled mousebird), 2146 nucleotides. RefSeq lists it as uncharacterized. NCBI's taxonomy places the organism in Eukaryota, Metazoa, Chordata, Aves, Coliiformes, Coliidae. The record is from RefSeq and is a predicted model, not a curated record. The transcript is spliced from 3 exons.
CCGGGGCGGCGGGACGCGGCCGGCGCCCCUCACCUGGAUGCGGGACUCGGGUAUCUGCGUGGCGUCGGCCAGCUUCUCGCGCAGCGUUGGCACACCUCUCCACAGCUCCCACAGAGUGUCAUCCCACUGAUGUGCUAAAAGCAGUGCCUGUGAGCUGCUGCAGCAUGCCUUCUGCAGCAAGAAAAAAGCACUGUGUCUGGAUUUGGCAGAGCUUUCUUUCCCCAACAAGAAGUUUUGUAUCCUGCCAUGUUCCUUGCUGUCUGACGAAGAGGUUUCCAAUACUUUGUAGGUGCCAGCAUCUGCAUGGAGUUACACCUAGAAGGCAAUGAAACAUAGACCCAGAACUUUGCCAAUAAGGUCAGACGCCGGUUGCAGUACAAAUGCAGAUCCAGUAUCUUUUCUCUGCCCUUGGUUGCUCUGGUACUGUUAAGCCUCACAAGUCUGUUCUCUCUGAGUGGUAUUGACCAGAGAUGUCUUCAGCUGGCUUCCCUGCGUUUCCCUGCUGCCACUCAGACACAUGCCAAGGCAAGUACUCUGGCUUCAGUCUUACCAUUCAUUCUGAAUCAUCUUUUCUGGAUAGUUUUGGAGACAAGGGACAGUUGGUCUCUCGUGUAUCGUGGCAUUUGCAAUAAAACCAUUUUGAUUUGCUAUAGCAUUUUUUUCCUGGGUUGUUUAACUCCAAAAAUAUUCAGGCCUCUAUAGAGUUUGGAAUGUUUUCAGAUGUAACGUGUAGAUGGAAGGUGGAACGUUCCACGUGAGGUGAGGAUCCUUAAAUCAGCAGUUUUGGGUGAGGAUAGGUGGGGAGUGCAGUGGUUACUGUGCUAUUUGGUUAAAUAAUUCUCUUCCAUGCAUAAAUUGACUCAUAUUUCUUUGCUGUUUAAAAUCAUACUGAAGGAGAGAAAAAGAAAGCAAAUGCCACACAAUGAACCGGGUAGGCAUUUUUUUCUGUGGGUUAUCCUGAUUUUUGCAAGCCCACGGCUCAGUUUUCUGGUGUCUGACUCACACAGAAGCUCCAUGUAUUUGCAUAGAAAAGCAUCUCCAUCUUCCUCCCCCACUGUCCCACCCUCCUGCCUCCACCAUCCCAGAUAAGCUGUCUGCUGCCUGCUCCUCUCUGUAAACAGGCUCUCUAGGGCAUGUCCCUCCCCUCUGCCUGGGACCAUUCCUACCCCGCCGCUCAGGCAGCUCUUGCCUUAGACCUUCAAAAUGUCCCCUGUUCUCCCAUACCCCAUUUUAUGUGAUGACCAUUUUUCUUCUCCUGUUAUUCAAGCUCAGUUCCUCUGCUUUUAUUUCUGGCAGGGUUAUUUUUCUGUUUGGCCUUGUUUUUCAAGGGCACACCCUUGUCACCUCCUUAGUCCUUUCCUUUGUUGCCUAAAGGUCUUCCUCUCUUUCCUUUUAUUGGUACUUUUGUCUCUUUUUUCCAUUAUCUUUUAGUCUCCCAGAUUCUGUCCCCUUUCCUUUGCAUUUGACCAAGCUUGUCUUACACAUUUUACUUGGGGGAUUUAAGACUUUUCUUUUUGACAGCUUUUCUUUCCUGCCCCUGGAAGUUUCUCCAUGCUGCUGGGCACAUGCCAAAGACCAAAUACAUUUAUUACUCCAAAUGAGACAACUACAAUCCCACAUAAGAGUGACUCCAGGCAGCAGCAAUCCCAGCAGCUCUCUGCUGCCAUCUUGGCCAUCCCCUAUGUCUCACGUUUUUCCUCUUCAGCUGUGGUAUCUUCACAUCUCAGAUGUUGCCUUAAGGUCUUUGACGAGACUUUGCUGCAAGGCUGAUCAAAAAAAGGUGCAGCAGCAUCAUAGUAGAGGUUUCUAUUUGCAGUUCCACCACUGCUAUCCUCUUGUCACCAGCCUCCGGCUCGCUGGCAAUGCCUGAAACAUGACUGUAGACUGUCUUUAUGGCAGUGACUGGAAGUGGGAAAACCAGGCACACUGUUAAAUCAGUCACAACAUCACUUAGGUAAAAGUAAAAACACCAGGAUCAGGGCUCUGAGCCCGGAAGGAGAGGAAGAGUGCGGAGAAGGUGUUCUUAAAGGGCUGGUUGGAUUCUUCAUAGUUGUACCACUCUGUGUUGUUUUAUGUUGGUUGUGUUUUGGGGUUUUAUGGUUAUGUUUUAGUUGAUGUUGCAUUAAAUUAUUUUGUGUUUUCUUCC